This 482-nucleotide ribosomal RNA is filed under the name uncultured bacterium. Its description in RNAcentral is "bacterial SSU rRNA". It matches the Rfam family "Bacterial small subunit ribosomal RNA", at positions 28 to 507 of the family's 1533-position model. The record is from RNAcentral.
GACGAACGCUGGCGGCGUGCCUAACACAUGCAAGUCGAGCGGAGUCGAUCGACGGAAGCCUUCGGGCGGAAGAUGGUUGACUUAGCGGCGGAUGGGUGAGUAACGCGUGGGCAACCUGCCUCGAAGACCGGGAUAACAGUCCGAAAGGGCUGCUAAUACCGGAUGUGGUCAAGGAUCCGCAUGGAUUUUUGAUUAAAGGGGAAACCCGUUUCGAGAUGGGCCCGCGUCCUAUCAGCUAGUUGGUGAGGUAAAAGCUCACCAAGGCGACGACGGGUAGCCGGCCUGAGAGGGUGACCGGCCACACUGGAACUGAGACACGGUCCAGACUCCUACGGGGGCAGCAGUGGGGAAUCUUCCACAAUGGGCGAAAGCCUGAUGGAGCGACGCCGCGUGAGCGAAGAAGGCCUUCGGGUUGUAAAGCUCUGUCUGGAGGGACGAAGGAAGUGACGGUACCUCCGGAGGAAGCCACGGCUAACUACGUG